Molecule: ribosomal RNA, 468 nt
Filed under: uncultured bacterium
Lineage: Bacteria
Description: partial 16S ribosomal RNA
Rfam family: Bacterial small subunit ribosomal RNA
Source: RNAcentral
GACGAACGCUGGCGGCGUGCUUAACACAUGCAAGUCGAGCGGAAAGGCCCUGCUUUUGUGGGGUGCUCGAGUGGCGAACGGGUGAGUAACACGUGAGUAACCUGCCCUUGACUUUGGGAGAAAUUCAGGGAAAAGGGGAUAAUACCGGAUAGGAUCUCCUGCUGCGUGGUGGGGGUUGGAAAGUUUCGGCGGUUGGGGAUGGACUCGCGGCUUAUCCGCUUGUUGGUGGGGUAGGGGCUUACGAAGGCUUUGACGGGUAGCCGGCCUGAGAGGGUGGCCGGCCACAUUGGGACUGAGAUACGGCCCAGACUCCUACGGGAGGCAGCAGGGGGGAAUAUUGCACAGUGGGGGGAAGCCUGAUGCAGCAACGCCGCGUGCGGGAUGACGGCCUUCGGGUUGUAAACCGCUUUCGCCUGUGACGAAGCGUGAGUGACGGUAAUGGGUAAAGAAGCACCGGCUAACUACGUG